AACGCACAUUGCGCCCCGUGGUAUUCUGCGGGGCAUGCCUGUUCGAGCGUCAUUUCAACCCUCAAGCUAUGCUUGGUGUCGGGCUAUGCUAUAAAAUAUAAAAUAGUUGGCCUUGGAAUCAGUUGCAGUGCUGCUAGGCCCUAAGUGUAGUAGAUUUUCUCGCUAUAGGUGCUUAGUAGUAUCUAGCUAAAAUUUUACUCUCUAUAGUUGACCUCGGAUCAGGUAGGGAUACCCGCUGAACUUAA
This 245-nucleotide unclassified non-coding RNA is filed under the name uncultured fungus. Its description in RNAcentral is "sequence contains ITS2". Lineage: Eukaryota; Fungi. The record is from RNAcentral.